This 337-nucleotide RNase P RNA is filed under the name Actinomycetaceae bacterium. Its description in RNAcentral is "RNase P RNA component class A". It matches the Rfam family "Bacterial RNase P class A". From Rfam's summary of the family: Ribonuclease P (RNase P) is a ubiquitous endoribonuclease, found in archaea, bacteria and eukarya as well as chloroplasts and mitochondria. The record is from RNAcentral. Lineage: Bacteria; Bacillati; Actinomycetota; Actinomycetes; Actinomycetales; Actinomycetaceae.
CAAGCUGACCAGGCGAUCGCGGCGUGAAGACGUCGAGGAAAGUCCGGGCUCCAAAGGACAGGGUGGUGGCUAACGGCCACCCGGGGCAACCCGCGGGAAAGUGCCACAGAAAAUAUACCGCCGAUCGUAUCGGUAAGGGUGAAAAGGUAGUGUAAGAGACUACCGCGGCUUAGGUGACUAAGUUGGCAGGGUAAACCCCACCCGGAGCAAGGCCAAGCAGUAAACGUUGAGGUUGUCCGCUGAGUUUACGGGUAGGCUGCUAGAAAGAUGCGGUAACGUAUCUUCCAGAUAGAUGAUCGUCCAACGACAGAACCCGGCUUACCGGUCAGCUUGUCAC